ACUAUCUUGAUAAUGAAGUGUACUGUAUUGGAUUCACAGAGAUUAGCAUGGCCUCUGCACAAAGAUGACGUGCAGAUUCAUUGAGCAUUCCAUAUUUUU
RNAcentral lists this small nuclear RNA (99 nucleotides) under Erinaceus europaeus (western European hedgehog). The record is from RNAcentral. Lineage: Eukaryota; Metazoa; Chordata; Mammalia; Eulipotyphla; Erinaceidae.